RNAcentral lists this ribosomal RNA (440 nucleotides) under uncultured bacterium. RNAcentral describes it as "partial 16S ribosomal RNA". It matches the Rfam family "Bacterial small subunit ribosomal RNA", at positions 338 to 795 of the family's 1533-position model. The record is from RNAcentral.
GCUACGGGAGGCAGCAGUGGGGAAUAUUGCACAAUGGGGGAAACCCUGAUGCAGCGACGCCGCGUGAGCGAAGAAGUAUUUCGGUAUGUAAAGCUCUAUCAGCAGGGAAGAAAAUGACGGUAACUGCGUAAGAAGCUCCGGCUAAAUACGUGCCAGCCGCCGCGGUAGUACGUAUGGAGCAAGCGUUAUCCGGAUUUACUGGGCGGAAAGGGAGCGUAGGCCGCCUGCCAUGUCUCAUGUGACAUACCGGGGCUCACCCCCGGGGCUGCAUUGGAAAAUGGCAGGCUGGAGUGCCGGAGAGGCAGGCGGAAUUCCUAGUUUAGCGGUGAAAUGCGGAGAUAUUAGGAGGAACACCAGUGGCGAAGGCGGCCUGCUGGACGGUGACUGACGCUGAGGCUCGAAAGCGUGGGGAGCAAACAGGAUUAGAUACCCGAGUAGUG